UACGUAGGGUGCAAGCGUUAAUCGGAAUUACUGGGCGUAAAGCGUGCGCAGGCGGCUUUGCAAGACAGAUGUGAAAUCCCCGGGCUUAACCUGGGAAUGGCAUUGAGGACUGCACGGCUAGAGUGUGGGCAGAGGGGGGUGGAAUUCCGCGUGUAGCAGUGAAAUGCGUAGAGAUGCGGAGGAAUACCGAUGGCGAAGGCAGCCCCCUGGGAUAACACUGACGCUCAUGCACGAAAGCGUGGGGAGCAAACAGG
Molecule: ribosomal RNA, 254 nt
Filed under: uncultured bacterium
Lineage: Bacteria
Description: partial 16S ribosomal RNA
Rfam family: Bacterial small subunit ribosomal RNA
Source: RNAcentral